GACGAACGCUGGCGGCGUGCUUAACACAUGCAAGUCGAACGAUGAACCGGUUUCGGCCGGGGAUUAGUGGCGAACGGGUGAGUAACACGUGGGCAAUCUGCCCUGCACUCUGGGAUAAGCCCGGGAAACUGGGUCUAAUACCGGAUACGACACUCCGAGGCAUCUUGGGGUGUGGAAAGUUCCGGCGGGGCAGGAUGAGCCCGCGGCCUAUCAGCUUGUUGGUGGGGUAAUGGCCUACCAAGGCGACGACGGGUAGCCGGCCUGAGAGGGUGACCGGCCACACUGGGACUGAGACACGGCCCAGACUCCUACGGGAGGCAGCAGUGGGGAAUAUUGCACAAUGGGCGAAAGCCUGAUGCAGCGACGCCGCGUGAGGGAUGACGGCCUUCGGGUUGUAAACCUCUUUCAGCAGGGAAGAAGCGAAAGUGACGGUACCUGCAGAAGAAGCACCGGCUAACUACGUG
Molecule: ribosomal RNA, 464 nt
Filed under: uncultured bacterium
Lineage: Bacteria
Description: partial 16S ribosomal RNA
Rfam family: Bacterial small subunit ribosomal RNA
Source: RNAcentral